RNAcentral lists this ribosomal RNA (447 nucleotides) under uncultured bacterium. RNAcentral's name for it is "bacterial SSU rRNA". It matches the Rfam family "Bacterial small subunit ribosomal RNA", at positions 355 to 825 of the family's 1533-position model. The record is from RNAcentral.
UGGGGAAUAUUGGACAAUGGGCGAAAGCCUGAUCCAGCCAUGCCGCGUGAGUGACGAAGGCCUUAGGGUUGUAAAACUCUUUCGUCGAGGACGAUAAUGACGGUACCCAAAGAAGAAGCUCCGGCUAACUUCGUGCCAGCAGCCGCGGUAAUACGAAGGGGGCUAGCGUUGUUCGGAUUUACUGGGCGUAAAGCGCGUGUAGGCGGACUUGUAAGUUGGGGGUGAAAUCCCGAGGCUCAACCUCGGAACUGCCUCCAAAACUACAAAUCUGGACCUAAGUAGAGGCAAGUGGAAUUGCGAGUGUAGAGGUGAAAUUCGUAGAUAUUCGCAGGAACACCAGUGGCGAAGGCGACUUGCUGGACUUAUGGUGACGCUGAGACGCGAAAGCGUGGGGAGCAAACAGGAUUAGAUACCCGUGUAGUCCCUGAGCGGGCUGGCAAGGCGCAU